GCGGUUUGUCCGAUUUUUGCUCGGGAAGAUUUUAGCCCAUUUCGACUUUUGAGCUAGAUUUCUCGAAAACCGUGAAUCCCACGAGAAAACCGAGGGUACCAGCACGCUCCACUCGUCGAGAGCUUCGCGGCGACAUAAAUUUCAAAUUUUUCCGACACCGUUUUUCGGUGGGUCCCACGGAACUUCGCAGUGUUUUUCCGAGCAUUUAAUGAGCUUAGAAAAUUCUGAAAAAUUUAUGUACUAACCCCCGUGUUAUGGGCUUCGUGUAGGUAUCCUCAAUUCGCGGAAAUUCGACAGUUGACCGGGUCUGUGAAAUUCCGGCCAGACAGACCCGUUACCGGAAAAGUCUCCGAAUUGGACUGAGGUUUUGGCUAGCCCCCCAUUGUCAGACGUCCCGAGCGCGUUCCCGAAGUCAGAAUCGGCAAAGGUGAGCCGGGACAGCCUUCUUCCUCCGCCCAGCCGCCACAGUGAUUGUCGUCAAGUCUGCCACAGGAGGAUAUUUUUUGAGGUUAACCUGCUUUCUCCCUCGCAGGUCGAUUACUAAUGUUUGUAUAAACUAGUUAAAUCUUAGAAUUUCCGCAUGUGUUAGAAAUGUUUAUUUGAUUUGGG
Hevea brasiliensis (rubber tree) is the source of this 609-nucleotide long non-coding RNA. RefSeq lists it as uncharacterized. The record is from RefSeq and is a predicted model, not a curated record. The transcript has 3 exons. NCBI's taxonomy places the organism in Eukaryota, Viridiplantae, Streptophyta, Magnoliopsida, Malpighiales, Euphorbiaceae.